GGGGGUAUAGUAUAGUGGUAAUACAAAAGGCUCCAGACCUUUAAAUCAGGGUUCGAUUCCCUGUACCCCCA
Molecule: transfer RNA, 71 nt
Filed under: uncultured archaeon
Lineage: Archaea
Description: tRNA-Trp(cca)
Rfam family: tRNA
About the family: Transfer RNA (tRNA) molecules are approximately 80 nucleotides in length.
Source: RNAcentral